This 701-nucleotide ribosomal RNA is filed under the name Staphylococcus aureus. RNAcentral's name for it is "partial 23S ribosomal RNA". It matches the Rfam family "Bacterial large subunit ribosomal RNA", at positions 457 to 1160 of the family's 2925-position model. The record is from RNAcentral. Lineage: Bacteria; Bacillati; Bacillota; Bacilli; Caryophanales; Staphylococcaceae.
CUCCUAAGGCUAAAUACUCUCUAGUGACCGAUAGUGAACCAGUACCGUGAGGGAAAGGUGAAAAGCACCCCGGAAGGGGAGUGAAAUAGAACCUGAAACCGUGUGCUUACAAGUAGUCAGAGCCCGUUAAUGGGUGAUGGCGUGCCUUUUGUAGAAUGAACCGGCGAGUUACGAUUUGAUGCAAGGUUAAGCAGUAAAUGUGGAGCCGUAGCGAAAGCGAGUCUGAAUAGGGCGUUUAGUAUUUGGUCGUAGACCCGAAACCAGGUGAUCUACCCUUGGUCAGGUUGAAGUUCAGGUAACACUGAAUGGAGGACCGAACCGACUUACGUUGAAAAGUGAGCGGAUGAACUGAGGGUAGCGGAGAAAUUCCAAUCGAACCUGGAGAUAGCUGGUUCUCUCCGAAAUAGCUUUAGGGCUAGCCUCAAGUGAUGAUUAUUGGAGGUAGAGCACUGUUUGGACGAGGGGCCCCUCUCGGGUUACCGAAUUCAGACAAACUCCGAAUGCCAAUUAAUUUAACUUGGGAGUCAGAACAUGGGUGAUAAGGUCCGUGUUCGAAAGGGAAACAGCCCAGACCACCAGCUAAGGUCCCAAAAUAUAUGUUAAGUGGAAAAGGAUGUGGCGUUGCCCAGACAACUAGGAUGUUGGCUUAGAAGCAGCCAUCAUUUAAAGAGUGCGUAAUAGCUCACUAGUCGAGUGACACU